RNAcentral lists this ribosomal RNA (372 nucleotides) under uncultured organism. RNAcentral describes it as "bacterial SSU rRNA". It matches the Rfam family "Bacterial small subunit ribosomal RNA", at positions 526 to 896 of the family's 1533-position model. The record is from RNAcentral.
CAGGGGGUGCAAACGUUGCUCGGAAUUAUUGGGCGUAAAGCGCGCGUAGGCGGCUUCUUAUGUCGGAUGUGAAGGCCCCUGGCUCAACUGGGGAAGUGCACCCGAAACUGAGUGGCUGGAGUACGAAAGAGGGUCGCGGAAUUCCCGGUGUAGAGGUGAAAUUCGUAGAUAUCGGGAGGAACACCGGUGGCGAAGGCGGCGACCUGGGUCGAUACUGACGCUGAGGCGCGAAAGCGUGGGGAGCAAACAGGAUUAGAUACCCUGGUAGUCCACGCCGUAAACGAUGAGUGCUAGAUGUUUCUGGUAUUGACCCCGGAGGCGUCGUAGCUAACGCGUUAAGCACUCCGCCUGGGGAGUACGGCCGCAAGGCUA